GAUGAACGCUAGCUACAGGCUUAACACAUGCAAGUCGCGGGGCAGCAUGGGGGUUGCUUGCACUCCCCGAUGGCGACCGGCGCACGGGUGAGUAACGCGUAUCCAACCUGCCCUUCACCACGGGAUAACCCGGCGAAAGUCGGACUAAUACCGUAUGUUGUCCAUUGACGGCAUCCGAUUUGGACGAAAGGUUUGGCGGUGAAGGAUGGGGAUGCGUCCGAUUAGCUGGACGGCGGGGUGACGGCCCACCGUGGCGACGAUCGGUAGGGGUUCUGAGAGGAAGGUCCCCCACACUGGAACUGAGACACGGUCCAGACUCCUACGGGAGGCAGCAGUGAGGAAUAUUGGUCAAUGGGCGUAAGCCUGAACCAGCCAAGUAGCGUGCAGGAUGACGGCCCUAUGGGUUGUAAACUGCUUUUAUGCGGGGAUAAAGUGGCCCACGUGUGGGUUUCUGCAGGUACCGCAUGAAUAAGGACCGGCUAAUUCCGUG
RNAcentral lists this ribosomal RNA (490 nucleotides) under uncultured bacterium. RNAcentral describes it as "partial 16S ribosomal RNA". It matches the Rfam family "Bacterial small subunit ribosomal RNA", at positions 28 to 507 of the family's 1533-position model. The record is from RNAcentral.